UGAUGCCACUUUCUGAGAAGAAAGAUGCUUCAUGCAGGGAGGAAUAUUGAGCUAUAACAUUUUACUGUAUUUCCCAUCUUGGAAAUAAAUUAGACUCUCAUUGAAAUAGAGUCUAUUUCAAUAAUAAUAAGAAAUAAAGGUUCUUAUUAUAUUUUUCUUAAAUUGUAUUUUUACAUCCUUAUUCUUGUUAGCAGAUUGCUUUUUGUAUUAAUCUGUUUUCACACUGCUAUAAAGAAAUACCCAAGGCCUGGUGUGGUGGCUCAUGCCUGUAAUCCCAACACUUCGGGAGGCCAAAGCAGGAGGAUUGCUUGAGCUCAGGAGUUUGAGACCAGCCUGGGCAACAUGGAGAAACCCCAUAUCUAUAAAAAAAAAUACAAAAAUAAUCUGGGUGUGGUGGCACACACCUGUAGUCCCAGCUACUCAGGAGGCUGAGGCAGGAGGAUUGCUUGAGCUUGGGAGGCGGAGUUUGCAGUGAGCUGAGAUUGCGCCACUGAACUCCAGCCUGGACAACAGAGCAAGACCCUGUCUCAAAAAAAGAAAUACCUGAAACUGGUCACGGAACAGCAAAUUUCUGAGA
Molecule: small RNA, 577 nt
Filed under: Pongo abelii (Sumatran orangutan)
Lineage: Eukaryota; Metazoa; Chordata; Mammalia; Primates; Hominidae
Description: processed transcript
Source: RNAcentral